This 253-nucleotide ribosomal RNA is filed under the name uncultured Ferruginibacter sp. RNAcentral describes it as "partial 16S ribosomal RNA". It matches the Rfam family "Bacterial small subunit ribosomal RNA", at positions 524 to 776 of the family's 1533-position model. The record is from RNAcentral. Lineage: Bacteria; Pseudomonadati; Bacteroidota; Chitinophagia; Chitinophagales; Chitinophagaceae.
UACGGAGGGUGUAAGCGUUAUCCGGAUUUACUGGGUUUAAAGGGAGCGUAGGUGGGUCGGUAAGUCAGUGGUGAAAUCUUCGAGCUUAACUCGGAAACUGCCAUUGAUACUAUCGAUCUUGAAUUAUCUGGAGGUAAGCGGAAUAUGUCAUGUAGCGGUAAAAUGCUUAGAUAUGACAUAGAACACCCAUUGCGAAGGCAGCUUACUACGGAUAUAUUGACACUGAGGCUCGAAAGCGUGGGGAUCAAACAGG